CGAGAAGUACCACACAAUUCUCUGUUUACCAUCGUUUAUCUCUGUGCCAGCAAAACGAUUACGCGUCAAACAAAUAUUUUCGAUUAUCCUUUUUGUUUAGAUAACAAUUUCGCAAGCUUAGGAUUAUUUGUGCACAUCAUACGCUUUGCGCGAGGGUUUGGAAAAAUGAACGUAACCGAGAAACAAAAAGGAAUAUUACUUUCCUUUAUGCAAAGAUAUCCCGAUUUCGGCAGAGGACGUUUACGAUACAAUAGUGAAAAUAAACGAAAAAUUGAUGAAUUUUGGGAAAAAUUAUCUAUAAUGUUAAAUACUGCAGCAUGCGGACCACGUAAAUUCUGUAAAGAAUGGGCCAAGG
Molecule: long non-coding RNA, 355 nt
Organism: Cyphomyrmex costatus
Lineage: Eukaryota; Metazoa; Arthropoda; Insecta; Hymenoptera; Formicidae
Exons: 3
Source: RefSeq, a predicted model, not a curated record